RNAcentral lists this unclassified non-coding RNA (810 nucleotides) under Hevea brasiliensis (rubber tree). The record is from RNAcentral. Lineage: Eukaryota; Viridiplantae; Streptophyta; Magnoliopsida; Malpighiales; Euphorbiaceae.
GGUCUCUCUUUCUCUCUCUUUUUCAAUUUUGUUUAUUUGCUACUUGUGUUACUGAAUUUCUUUGUUUUCGUGCCAUUUCGACGUACCCUUUUGUUUAGAUUGCAGUAUUGGGCUAUUUGCUGCGUUAAUUAAGAAAUAAUUAGUGAAACACUUGUUUGGUGACCUUGUUUAAUUUGUGGAUAUAUUUGACGUUGAAAUUUGAGAUUCGUUGUUUGAUUUAUUUUUUUUUAGUAUGUAUGUAUUUUACUUGAUGCCAUUUUAAAGUUUAGAUUUUGAUAGCUGAUGGGAUAGAGUAAUCAGUCGCAUAAUUAUCCAUAAUCAGGCUUCUUAUGGAACAAUUUGUGUUUACUUGGCGAGAUGAUAAUAAUAUUGAGCUGGAAAAUGAGGUAUGCAGUGCACAUAUAAUUUGAGAGUACAAACUACACUUCUUGUGCUCAAGUUCUCUGCUUAAGAAAAGCAUUCCAUCCUUAUCCUGUAUGACUAAAAUAGCUUUUCAUGUUCUUAAAUUACCAGUCACUAGCAACAAUAAAUAAAUUUAUGGUAAUAAGCCACAUAAUUAUCCUACUUGAAAGCGUAGGGUGACUGCUCUACUGAUCAUUUUUUGAUUUAUUAACAAAAGGAAUUGCGUCCUACUGUUAGUGAGAGACAAUCUCAUUUUUUUGCAGUAUUGAUUAUGUGAGCACUGUUAUGUUAUAGCUCAAAUGCUAACAUUUGCAUGUUACAUUGUUCAUAACUGUUCUUUUUCUUCUGUUUAAGUUAACAUGUUCUCGUUCUUCUCCUUUUCCAGAGGCAAAGCGUGCAGUACCACUG